This 115-nucleotide long non-coding RNA is filed under the name Saimiri boliviensis boliviensis (Bolivian squirrel monkey). Its description in RNAcentral is "Prostate androgen-regulated transcript 1 conserved region 3 (ENSSBOG00000000952.1)". It matches the Rfam family "Prostate androgen-regulated transcript 1 conserved region 3", at positions 1 to 113 of the family's 131-position model. The record is from RNAcentral. Lineage: Eukaryota; Metazoa; Chordata; Mammalia; Primates; Cebidae.
CUUUGCAAAGAAUCCAAGACCAACAAGAAAGGAGAGUAAUUUUCUACCUCACCCUGCCACCACCAGAAGAGGGGCCCAGAGAUGGGGGAGAGAGUGGCAGCAAGGGAUUCUGGUU